UGAGCAAUCUGCCCUUCUCAUCGGAAUAAGCGUUGGAAACGACGUCUAAUGCCGAAUACGACCUCCUUUCGCAUGAUCGGAGGUGGAAAGCUCCGGCGGAGAAGGAUGAGCUCGCGGCCUAUCAGCUAGUUGGUGAGGUAAUGGCCCACCGAGGCGACGACGGGUAGCCGGCCUGAGAGGGUGACCGGCCACACUGGGACUGAGACACGGCCCAGACUCCUACGGGAGCAG
RNAcentral lists this ribosomal RNA (231 nucleotides) under uncultured bacterium. RNAcentral's name for it is "partial 16S ribosomal RNA". It matches the Rfam family "Bacterial small subunit ribosomal RNA", at positions 118 to 347 of the family's 1533-position model. The record is from RNAcentral.